RNAcentral lists this unclassified non-coding RNA (6883 nucleotides) under Cotesia glomerata. RNAcentral describes it as "uncharacterized LOC123270262, transcript variant X1". The record is from RNAcentral. Lineage: Eukaryota; Metazoa; Arthropoda; Insecta; Hymenoptera; Braconidae.
GGCUGUUGUUUUUUAUUGUGUAAUUGUUAUCUGUGAUUAUUUUAAAUUUUUAUUUAAGUCUUGUGUACGAGUUUAUAUUAUUUAUUUAAAACUCUGAUGGCUCACAACGCAAGUUUCCCAAGAUCAGUAUUUUUUUCAGUCUCAAUUGAAGUUACAGAUUAAUAAAAAUGGACUUCAGGUCAGAUAAACCGUGUACGGCUGGACGAAUAGCCCCAACCGGUCGUUUAACUCCGUCAAUUCAUCAAUCUGUCAAUGGAAAACGGAAAGUUAUUCCUGUACCUCCGCCGAGAAUACCAACUCCUAUGCCAAUUGUUAAUAAUAAUAAACAAAGAAACAGCAGCAAUGUUCAAAUUUCUCAAAUUCCGUCCGUACAGAAAAAAGAAUCACACGGUAAUAUAGGUAAAAUAGCCAGACGUUAUCUUGACGAUAAUAUGCAACAAGUAUGGAUAAAUCCGCGAUUGAUCUCAAUGAUAAAUAUGGAAGCUGUUACAUCAACAGAUUACGAUUCAGCAAAUUUAAGCCAUAAUUUUAAUCAAAUUGGGUUCAGCACUUAUAAUUAUUCACAGUUUGAAGAAAAGUACAAGUCAACUCAGCAAAAUUCAACAAAGCUUGGAACAAUAAGUCAAACACUAUCAUCCCAGUCAAAUGAUUUCGUCAGCUAUUUAUACGACGAUAAAUAUCCUCGUAAUCAAUUAAAGUCAGAACGUGAUAGUAAUAAACAGCAUUCGUACUUAUUACCUCAUGAAGUAAAAUCAAAAUCACAAAAUUUACGUGGUGAUUUAACCUACUACCAAAUAGAUUCACCUGGUAAACACGAUACACGUCACAACAAAUGUCAUCGAUCGGAUGAUAAAAAUAUUUCGUACGAAACACCCGCCACGACAAUAGUCACUGAUGAAAAUAAUAAAAAAGAUGGUAAAGAUAAUAACAAACGUGAUAAAGUUGGAAAGCACACUCACGUUAACAAAUCUGAUUCAAAGAUUAAUGGACCACUGUCAAUAAAUCAACAAUUUAUUAAAUCAACAACCAAUGAGUCGGAUGAUGAGUGUCAUCUCAGUCAUAUUGGACAAAUAUCAUCGAAUCAACAUCAUCAACAACAAUUUCAAGUUUCAUACAAGUAUCGUCAAUUAGAUAGACCGCCCAAAUACCAAGAAUAUCCUCCUCGGGAUUCAUUAAGGUGUGAACAACCUGCACCUAGAUAUUAUCAAGAUCCUCCUAAAUAUUCUGAUGUUAUAAGAAAAGAUGACUUGAAAAAAAUUCCCGAAGAGAAGGGACGACGGCAAGUGGGGAUACGUAGCGGGAGUGUUGGCGAGACGCCUGUUAAUCUAGUCAGUAUCACGCCAACUACGCGAGAAGUAACACGUGGUGCCAUGACACGUCAUCGACAAACAAAUAAACAACAACAAAUAGAUGACUCUAAUCAAGUAACAACUGAUAAUUCAAAAGAGCCAACCACUCAACAUAAUUUUACAGAACAAACAACAGCACCACCGGGAUUAACAACAACAACGACAAAUAGUAGUAGUGGUACUAUGACAACUACUACUAUCACAAACACCACCACCACCACCAGCAAAACCGAUCAAUCUUGUCGUAAUAAUUUUAAUGGGGGUAUUAUCCUGGGUGUUAAUGUCAGUGGAGUUAUUUGUCCCGAUAUACUUGAAAAAAAAUAUGACAGAGUUAAAUUAAUUGGCGGAGCAUCAGGAGGCAGUAAUAUUGGAGUUAAUAGUAGUAAUAAUAAUAAUAAUAAAACAACAAUUACAAUGAUUAAUAAUAAAAAUGAUAAAGUCAAAAGUGAUAGCAAUAAUGAUAAAAUACGAGGGGGCAAUAAUCGUGAUUCAAUCCUCCAUAAACAUGAAAAAGAUUGUAUUAAAAAGACGAAUCAUGAUGGGCACGUGGUUGGUUAUAAAGCAGACAAUAUCAAGUAUUACGGUGAGCUUAAGGGAUUUAAGUCUUAUGGUGUUAUCGAUAAACCAGCUGGGAUACAUGAUAAGACACAUCAAUAUGCAGUCCCUGAAAAAGUAGUAUAUCCAAUAAAUAAUUUUCCUAUUGGAGGAGUAACUAAUCAUGAUAAAACCCAUUCUAAAUCAUCAAUACUUAAUUAUACAUCAAAGUUAACCGAUAAAAGUGUUGUACAAUGUGAUAAUAAUGUUAACAAGUACAGUGAUCAAAAUUAUUAUUACUACAAUAAUAAUCAUCAUCAUCAUCAUCAUCAUUACAGUAGUAGUAAUAGUAAUCGUUAUAAUUAUCAAAAAUCAAAUUGUCUUUUGCCGUUAUUUCAAGAAACAAAAUAUGCAUAUACUGUCAGUGGUGCUCCUGGUACACCCGCUCAAGCAAGUGCUGCUGCUGCAUUUUUUGCUAGAGCUGCACAAAAAUGGAAUUUAUCGUCGAGUCCGCACAGACGACGACGAUCAGGGGAUGAUAGUAUUGGACCCGAUGAACAUCCUAUAUUUCCAAAUGGCUACGCUGCUAUUCUUAACAAGUCACCACCACCAGCACCACCAGCUUUUUUACGACGAAUUGGGGUUAAAGAACUCACUGGUGUCGGCAAGGUAAAAGUAAUGCUGAGAAUAUCAUCCGGUGAAGGUGGUAGUUUUUUUACGGCUGACAAACGUAAAAAACAAAUAACAAUUAUUGAUCCAACGUCAGGACAAUCAGCAACGACUGAAUCAGACAGAAGGCCAACUGUUGCUGCUCCAAAGAUGUUUGCAUUCGACGCUAUUUUUACAGAAGAAGAUUCACAGAUAGAAAUAUGUUCAAGCGCGUUAACUGAUGUUAUUCAUGCUGUCAUUAAUGGUACAGACGGGUGCUUAUUUUGUUUUGGUCACGCCGGUUUAGGUAAAUCACACACAAUGCUCGGUACUCCUGAAGCUGGACAUACACUAGGUGCUAUUCCAUGUGCAAUAACGUGGUUAUUUCGUGGUAUAUCUGAGCAGCGACAAAGAACUGGAGCGAGAUUUAGUGUACGAGUAAGUUGCGUUGAAUUAACAACUGGACAACAUCAAUUAAAAGACUUGUUAGCUGCAUACGCAAAUGAUUCAGAACAAUCACCGGCGGUUUAUCUACGUGAUGAUCCACUGUUUGGAACACUGCAGCUUCAGCAGCACAGUGAACUUCGUGCUCCUACUGCUGAGCGUGCGGCAUUUUACUUGGACGCAGCAGUUGCUGGCCGUCAGUAUGAAGAUAGCAAUGCUCAUAUGCUCUAUACGCUUCAUGUUUAUCAAUACAGUGUUGCUGGUAAAGGUGGAGUUGCUGGUGGGCGUAGCAGACUUCAUUUAAUGGAUCUUGGUAAUUCAGAUCGUGGUAAAUCUGCUGGCGGUAUACCCUUGUCUGGUCUUGGAAAUAUAUUAUUAGCAAUAUUUAAUGGUCAAAAGCAUUUACCCUAUAAAGAACAUAAAUUAACCCAAUUAUUAAAAGAAUGCCUGGGUUCACUGACAUGCCAUGCAGCAAUGAUUGCUCAUGUAUCACCAAAUGCCCAACAUUAUACGGAUACCCUAACAACUGUACAAUUAGCCUCACGUAUACACAGAAUGCGCCGACGUAAAAUAAAAUUUGUAUCUGGUGGUACACAAGGAAAUGGUCACAGCAGUGGAAGUUCCGGUGAGGAAGCCGCACGACAAAAUACUGAGUGUGAUCCAAGCUCAAGUGAUUUAUCAGCAGACACUGUUAUUUAUGUUGGUCCAUCUGCUGAAGACGCAACUGAUGGAGAGCAUCCACCUGUUUAUAUUCCAAGUCUUAAUUCUGGUGAUCAAAGAUGUGCUAUGGGACGAAUUUUACGCGGUUCUGCUGCUGAAAGACCUUUAAAUAGUAAAUUUAUUGAUGAUCAACAUAGUCCAGUACACAAUAAUAAAACAAUUACUACAACAACUGCAACUGCAACUGCAACAACAACAACAACAACAACAACAACACUAUUAACAACAACGACGACAACAACUAAUGCAACGGCAGUAACACAAACGACAGCGUCAAUGGCACCAAUAAAAUCAUCUGUAAAAACAUUAACUCAAACGGCGUCUAAACAAACAUCGCCAGCUCACAGUAUUACACCAAAAUCAAGUCCAGCCCGUAAAAUUAAUACUAAAUCUUCCAUUAAUAAAUUAACAGACUCCCCAACAAAUAGUAAAAUACCAAUCUCUAGUAGUAAUAAUGCAAGUGGAAAUAAUGUUAUUAUUAUUGGAGCGUCUGACGAACAGUGGAUUGAUGGACCAAGAAUAUCUAAAUCAAAAGUUGCUGAAGCAAGACAUUUAUUUAAAGAUACUCAUCAUAAAAGAGAAACAUGGAUUGAUGGUCCUUUACAGCCAUUACUUAAUCAGCAGCAACAGCAGCAGCAGCAGCAGCAGCAGCAGCAGCAGCAACUACAACUACAACAACAAUCGUCACAGCAUACUGGAUACGGUUUUAUGGAUAAUCAUAAAAAAAUAAUGAUAAGAAAGUGGGUAGAAAAUCAGUCAUCACAAAUCCAACGGGCCAAGCACACGUCAUCGAGAUCGGAAUCUAAAUUAGGUCAAUCUUGUGGAAGCGGUGUCACUGGUGGUGUUGGUAUUUUUAAAGAUGUCACAAGUAGUGGUAGUGGUGGGGGCUCGGCGGGAUUUAAAAUGUCGUCUGAUGAUAAUGAGGAUGAUACGUCAUUAAGUACUGUGGGCAGCGAUAGUUUAAGAACAACUGAUGCUGAUGAUACCAUUGAUAAGAUUCGUUCUACUGGGGGUAAUAAAUUAUUAAAUUUAAUAAAUAAUAUAAAGUCAAAUACUGACUCUGGUUUAGAUUUAACAACUAGUCCUGUUAUUGAUGAUAGUAGUGAUAAUAAAAAUAAUGAUAUAAAUGAUGAUGAUGAUGAUGAUGUUAAUAUUGUAGAUAUUGAUGAUGAUGAUGAUGAUAAUGAAGAGGAAGAUGAAAUAAUUGUACCUCCACCGUUAAAAUUAAUUGAACCACUGAGUAAUGGUGUUAGUCGCGAAGUUUCAAUGGAGAGUCUUAAUUUAUCUCAUAAAGAUAUGGUAUUACCUUCGAGACAUUCACUGUCGUCGGAAGAUGAAAUUUUAGAGAUUAUUGAAGUUGAGGAUUUAGAACCAGUACCAAUGCAAGACUCGUGUUUGCAAGUUACCGAAGAAGAUAUAGCACUUUGUAUGGGUGAAAAUCCUUUGCCUGAAAGCGAUCAAGAGGAACAUCCGUUAAGGAUUUUGAGUCAAGAAAACUUGACAAUUGUCUCUACAUUCACCGAUUCAAUGUCCGUAAUGUCAGACAGCGAACGUUACAAACCGCAAUUUUCAUCAUCAGUUGGUACAGGUGUCUUACCGCGACCUUACUUUGACCAUGAAGACUUUCUUGAACAGGAAACUCGACACAAGUUUGAUCAAUUAGCUCGACUUCAUGAACUAUAUCAAAGUAAACUUGCUUUGGCCAAUGUAUCAAAUUCAGUGACUUAUCAGAGAGAAAACUCAUCUGUUGUCAGUGUCCAUGAUGUUCCAGCAAAUGUCUUCCGUCCACCAUCACGUUGUCAAUCUUUAUCGCUAUCUGAUGUUAUGUUUAAUGACAAUUCAAGUAACCAUGGAAGUAUAUACAGUGAGCCAGCGUAUAUACCUGGGAAUAACGAUGAAGAAAAAAUAUGUGAUAAUUGUCGACAAAGUAUGUCACGACCAGCAACAGCGUCUUAUUGGUACCCAACAAUUCAAGGAGGAGCAGGAUCUUCGCUAACUAAAAAUCAACAAGCAAUGUCUUCAGCGACUGGAAUGAGAAUGGGAAUGGGAAUAAGAAUGGGAAAAGGUGGUGGAGGAGGAUCAUCAUCAUCAGCAUUGCCAUUAUCAUCAGGUGGUGGUAAUGGUGGUGCAGUAUCGCAAAUUCCUAGCAGUAGUUUAUCACAUUUAGCAAGUCCAAAACGUUAUUGCGGUAAAUUUAGUGAUUGUAAUAUAUCUAGUCUACGACAUCCGGAUGGUGCGUCAAAUCCAAAUCUUAAAGAGGAAAUUGAAAGAAUACCGGGCAAUGGUGCUUCGGGGUCAGAUCCUGAAGAAGAAUAUAUUGAGGCUAAAAAAUUAUUCAACACUGCUGUUCAUGAAAGAUCUGAAAGAAGCGAAAGAACUGAAAGAACUGAAAGAACUGAAAGAACUGUCACUGGCAAAUCGGAUAUUGAGGAGGAAAUUAUACUUCCAGUAACUGUACCGUUAGAAUUAUCAAUUCCGUCCUCACUACCGUCCUCAGGUCGUAUGCAACGUAAAAUAUUAAGCCUCGGUUCAUCACUCGGAUUAAAUCGCGAGAGUUAUGAUUCUGGUGCUGAUUCUACGCCACGUGCUGCUAAACUUUCUCCAGCUACUUUGUCAAGGUAUCGCGCUGAAAGUUCCGGUUAUGAUAGCGUAGUCAGAGACAGCGAAAUUAGCAGCAUUGCCAGUGAUUCAUCAAGGCAAACUAGUGCACUCCAAGAGCAUCAAGGUGGCGCACUGGGAGUUCUAACAUCGACGUUGUGCGGAUGUUUCAGCGGUGGGACAACCGGGAGCCGAGUACGUGCAACACGUUCAACAUCAGCAGCAGUGGCAGCAGCAGCAUCAGAGGCAAACAAUCCUACCCGUGGUAGUACUCGAUUACACAGACGAGGACGUGGAAAUAAUGGAACGGAGAGGUCUAAUUCGCUCGGAUCCACGUGGCACAAUGUACAAGAUAAACAACCUACGUCUGCGCCAACGGCUUCUUAAAAUUGAGUUACGUGACGCUAAAAGACGACUAAUGAUACCCGAUAGUCGAUGGACUUAUGAUUUACACGUAGAAAAUAGUAUGGAUUGGCGUAAUUCAUCAUUUAUCGAAGCACUUGAAGCUGAAACAGUGAUACUACAAAAACGUGUCGAUGCUUGCAAAAGUCAUGUUUUACUUGUUACAUGUUUUGACUCUUAUAAUACUA